This 1264-nucleotide ribosomal RNA is filed under the name metagenome. RNAcentral's name for it is "bacterial LSU rRNA". It matches the Rfam family "Bacterial large subunit ribosomal RNA", at positions 1672 to 2925 of the family's 2925-position model. The record is from RNAcentral.
CCAAAUAUUCUCAGGCGCUUGAGAGAACUCGGGUGAAGGAACUCGGCAAAUUGGUACCGUAACUUCGGGAGAAGGUACGCCCCUAGUAGGUGAAGGCGCACAGCUGGAGCCCAAUGGGGUCGCAGUGAAACGGUGGCUGUAACUGUUUAACAAAAACACAGCACUCUGCAGACACGUCAAGUGGACGUAUAGGGUGUGACGCCUGCCCGGUGCCGGAAGGUUAAGUGAUGGGGUGCAAGCUCUUGAUCGAAGCCCCGGUAAACGGCGGCCGUAACAAUAACGGUCCUAAGGUAGCGAAAUUCCUUGUCGGGUAAGUUCCGACCUGCACGAAUGGCGUAAUGAUGGCCACACUGUCUCCACCCGAGACUCAGCGAAGUUGAAGUGUUUGUGAUGAUGCAAUCUCCCCGCUGCUAGACGGAAAGACCCCGUGCACCUUUACUACAACUUUGCAUUGGACUUUAGUGAGGCCUGUGUAGGAUAGCUGGGAGGCUUUGAAGUGGGGGCGCUAGCUCUCAUGGAGCCACCGUUGAAAUACCAGCCUGGCGUUAUUGAGGUUCUAACCUUGGCCCGUAAUCCGGGCCGGGAACCGUGCAUGGUGGGUAGUUUGACUGGGGCGGUCUCCUCCCAAAGUGUAACGGAGGAGUGCGAAGGUACGCUUCGCGCGGUCGGUAAUCGCGCUGAAAGUGCAAUGGCAAAAGCGUGCUUAACUGCGAGACGGACAUGUCGAGCAGGUGCGAAAGCAGGUCAUAGUGAUCCGGUGGUUCUGUAUGGAAGGGCCAUCGCUCAACGGAUAAAAGGUACGCCGGGGAUAACAGGCUGAUUCCUCCCAAGAGUUCAUAUCGACGGGGGAGUUUGGCACCUCGAUGUCGGCUCAUCACAUCCUGGGGCUGAAGCCGGUCCCAAGGGUAUGGCUGUUCGCCAUUUAAAGUGGUACGUGAGCUGGGUUCAAAACGUCGUGAGACAGUUUGGUCCCUAUCUGCAGUGGGCGUUGGAAGUUUGAGGGGGGCUGCUCCUAGUACGAGAGGACCGGAGUGGACGCACCUCUGGUGUACCGGUUGUCACGCCAGUGGCAUCGCCGGGUAGCUAAGUGCGGAAGAGAUAACCGCUGAAAGCAUCUAAGCGGGAAACUCGCCUCAAGAUGAGACUUCCCGGGGACUUGAUCCCCCUGAAGGGUCGCGGAAGACUACCGCGUUAAUAGGCCGGGUGUGUAAGAGGAGUAAUCCUUUGAGCUAACCGGUACUAAUUGCCCGUGCGGCUUGAUCCU